RNA transcript from Oreochromis niloticus (Nile tilapia), 6266 nucleotides. It is a transcript of the gene named prominin 1a, with no coding region annotated. The record is from RefSeq and is a predicted model, not a curated record. The transcript has 30 exons. Lineage: Eukaryota; Metazoa; Chordata; Actinopteri; Cichliformes; Cichlidae.
CAUCCCCGUGCUGCACAGAUGCCGGAGUGGAAGCGACAGGCGCGCUCAUCCAAACGCAUCGAACACAGGGGACGUGGGAGAAGAUCGUCCGGUUUGCGUCCGUCUAAGAGCUCCAGACCGCGGGGAACGAUGCUCGGAGCAAGUCGCUCGGUGGGAAGCAGGACUUAAAAAGCUGCGGAACACUUUUAUCUUUACUCUCUCUUUCCCCUUUCCUUAUCCCCCACUCCGACAAUAAUCAAGAUUCCGGGCAGUCGCCGUCCAGUUUUCUCGAUCUCUGAGAAUUUAGAGCCAGUUUCAGGACAGGUCGGUGUUUCGUUUGGACACGAUGUGGAAGUCGGGAACCCUCCUCCUGCUGUUGCUGUGGCUGGCAUCCGGCGAACUCCAGCAAGAGACGGAGCCGCGGAGACUCCCACCCCCAGGAAAGUUGAAUUUCGGCUAUGUGCCAGCGGGAGUUUACGAGACGCUGGCCCAUUACGAACCUGGACCGAUAGGGAUUCUGUUCCACAUGGUCCAUGCUUUCCUGUAUGCGGUGCAACCCAACGCUUUUCCACACGAUCUUAUUGUCAAACUGGCAAAGGACAAGUUUGGAGCCAUUCAGACGGAAUAUCAAAAGCCAGAGAACAUAGUGCUGACCCUUCAGGCCAUCUACUAUGAGAUAGGCUUCCUAGUAUGUGCAGCAGUGGGCCUGCUCUUUACCAUUCUGAUGCCAAUAGUCGGGCUCUUCUUCUGCAUGUGCCGCUGCUGUGACAACUGUGGUGGUGAGAUGCACCAACGGCAGAGGAAGAAUGCAGACUGCCGGCGUGGCCUCCUGGGAACGCUGCUCUUCUCCACCUCACUGGUCAUCACGAUUGGAGUGCUGUGUGCGUAUGCCGCCAACCAGAACCUGAGCUCUCAGGUGAAGAACGUACGGAGACUGGUCAACAGCAACAUGAGGGAUCUGCACACUUUCGCUAACGACACACAGAUGCAAAUUGAUUACCUAAUAUCCCAGUAUGCCACAGCCAAGAACAAAGUCAUCUAUGACCUAGAUAACAUAGGUCCAUUAUUGGGUGGAAGAAUACAUGAUCAGUUGGAUAAGGAGGUCCGUCCUGCCUUGGACCAAGUCCUCAAUAUGGCUGGAGCCAUGCGGGAAACCAAGGAGGCCUUGGAGAGCGUUAAUGCAUCUCUGGAGGUGCUUCAGGAUGGAACAGGGAAACUGAGCCUAAACCUGGGCCAAGUCCGGACCAGCAUCAACCGCACCCUAAAUGACCCUGGCUGCCAUGAUGAAGACUCGGAUGCUACCACAGCCCAGCUAUGCCGCAACAUUCGCCAGUCGCUGUCCCAGCUGCAGAUCAGCUCAAAUUUCACACGGCUACCCGAUGUGAAUGCACAGCUGGAAAAGAUGAACGAUGUAUUGAAAACAGACCUCAGCGCUGUCGUUCAGAGGGGCUUCUCCUCUUUAAACGACACGCCGCAUAUGGUGAUUGAACAGACCAGAAGUGUUGUUGAGAGUGUAACAAAUUUGGUGGAUAGCAUUGGCAAUAACAUCAGCAGCUUUUCCAAGGCAUUGCCAGUGCAGAGCUGCCUGUCCAACUUCACCAUCUUUGUUAACCAUGUGCACGCCAGGAUUGAAGACUACUACCCAGAAAUUGACAAAAUGGACUUCUACAGGUGGAUUGGCUGCAUUGCUCUUUGUUGCAUGGUGGUCCUGGUCCUGGCCUUCAACUACCUGGGCCUGCUGUGCGGCACGCUGGGCUAUGACAAACAUGCCUCACCUACAACACGGGGAUGCAUCUCCAAUACAGGAGGAACGAUGCUUAUGGCUGGAGUUGGAUUUAGCUUCCUCUUCUCCUGGGUACUGAUGGGAGUGGUGACCAUCAUCUUCCUGGCUGGAGGGAACAUGGAGAAACUUGUGUGCGAACCAUUCCACACCAAAGAGCUUUUCAAGGUUGUGGAUACUCCAUAUAUGAUCAACCCAGAGUGGAAGAACUUCAUCCCUGGCUACAUGUACAACGACUCUGAGCUGGAGUUGACAACAGAGAGCUUAUACAGUACUUGCAAAAAGAACCAAGGCAUCUACUCUGCCAUGCGUCUGGACAAAGUCUUCAAUAUCUCCUCUUACCUGAACACCACAGUGUUCACAAAGGAUGUGGUCAGUCAGCUGGACAGUCUUAAGAUCGACCUGAGAAGCAUAAUCCUGUUGGAGGCAGAGGGAAGGCAGAACCUGCUGGAUUUCUCUGAAGCAGGGCUGUCAGAGAUCAACUACGCCGACUACCUGGAGGAGGUGAAUAAGGGGGUCACUGUAGUGGAUCUACUCUCAUUUGCCAGAGAACUGGAGGCCCAGACAGACCUGAUGCCCAAAAGUCGUCUGCAGUCUGCUCUGAAAGGCCACGUUGGCACUCUGCGGCAGAUCCACAGGCAACAGAUCGUCCCAAUGGAGCAAUCCAUGAAGUAUGUUAGAGCAAGGAGUGCGCUGAACCAGAGUAUGAGGUUCCUGGAGAGAACAGCCUCUGAUCUUCCUAACAAAAUCUUAGCUGUUCUUGAUGCCAUCAAAGCUGCGCAGUUCCUCAUCUCGCAGAACGCUACGCAUUUGAUAAAUCGGGAAUCCAGAAAAUACACCGCCACCAUUAUUGGCUACUUUCAUCAAUACAUUGAAUGGGUGAAAACAUCUCUGGCCAUGGAGGUUGCACCGUGCAAGCCCUUCAGCAACGUGGUGGACACGGCAGAAAUCAUGGCUUGCAGUUUCGUGGUUGACUCUAUGAACACUUUCUGGAUGGGCCUGGGCUGCAGCACUCUCCUCCUGCUCCCGAGCAUUAUUCUAGCAGUAAAACUGGCCAAGUACUACCGCAGGAUGGACACAGAGGAUGUUUACGAUGACACUGAGACAAUUCCCAUGAAAACUAUGGAAAUUGGUAAUAAUGGUUAUCAUAGUGAGCGCUUACAAGGUAUUCCUAAUCCUGUGAUGACAAGCAUCCCUACCUAUGAUACUAUGAACAGGUUCCCGCGGGCCUCGGCUCCUCCGAGGCACAUCGACUGGUGACAGAGCCGCCUCUUGUUCUGGCUCCUGAAAGCUUGUUUUAGUGCAUUUCUGCUCACUGAAGAACCAUCAUGUGCCCUCGAAAACUGGAACUGAAAUACGUCAUACUUUUAAUUUCCUAAAUCCUUGGACCAGAUGAGGCUCAGUGAAAGCUGGUUUCCUCACAACAAAAGAACCCAUGUCCUGCAGGCGUUAUCUUCAGCGAUGAACCGAACCUGCUCGGCCUUCAGUACGGUUACAGCCUGCAGGAUAUCAAACUCUUCUCCCCUCAGCAUCAAUCUGAGCCAGGCUUGUUCUGCAUUUUUUGUAAAGGACUGCUUUGUCUGCGUUUACAUUUGUUCAGAUAUGAAACAAAGCAGAAAAACAUUCAGUGACAGGACAUGACAUUAACUGUGAUGCUUGUUCAUUUUAAUGUGCUUCUUUGUGCUUACGAAAACAAAAGCUGGAAGGUCAGACGAAGGUAACUGCAAGCAGAGGACUCUUUAUUUUUCCUUCUCCUGCUUCCUGCAUUUAAAAAGGGAUGUGACACUUUCAACUCAAACUAGUGGCAGUGUGUCAUUACAUCUGAGAUGAAUGCAAAUUAACCACAACAGCCUGUUAAAAAGUGUUGAAUAGUACACAUACUUUUUUAAGUGCAGCAUGUGUGAAGUGGUGGAUCUGUGUUAUCUUCAUGAUUGAGAAUUUGAGUAAAGUGGUAAAAUAGAGGUUAGGGGGUAUUCUACAAAAAAAAUAGUCUCUUUAAAAUGUUUACAAUAUCACAGGAACGUUUAUCUUCGCUGGUUUGAUGCGCAUUACAAAAGACUGGUUGCCUUUGUAUGGAGUUUGAGAGCUGCUACUUUUUAAAAGAGGAAAUCUGCCAUCAGCUAAUCUUACACUGCUGAAAAUCAACAAUCUGGGAGUUAUUUUUGUGGUAAAGAUCCAAACUGUGCUCUUUUUCCUAGAAUACCUAUCUUCCCUUACCCUGUGUCAUCCACAUCUACAGGUGGCAAUUCUCUACAUUUUUCCAGAAUGCCUUUUAAACAAGUCAUUUGUAUCCAGUAGGGAUGUAAAAUUACUUUAUUUCAAAGAGAUGAAAUGAAAUGUAACAAAUUGAUUCUGUAAUGCUUUCUACUGUGACGAUGAUGUCCGUAGUAUGUUUUGCUCAUGCAUUAUCAUCCCAGGGUGUCAAACACAGACAUUCUGUCUGUGGCUGCUGGCCCCUUUGAUCCGUGCGAGGUGUUCUGUGGUGUUAAUAUGGAGAUGCACUGACUGUAAUAUUUGACAGUGAGAGACAAAGAUAUUAAUCUUAUGUGGGAGGCAAGGUGGUGAUGAUGUAAAGUACAGGUUUUUCAGUGUUUGUGUUUCAUGUCCAUUUUGUUGUCAUUUUACGUUCACCUUCACUGGGUGCUUGGUCGGGUUUAUGCACGAGAACUAGCUGGUUAUUUUUAGGAAAAGAUGGCUGUUUUGAUUCAAAUAUUCCCCUCAACAACGCUGCAACUUGAAAAAUGAUAUUAAUUGAACUCUUGUAAUUAAGAGUCCAUAUAGCAACACUUGUCUCACUAUUAGCCGGUGCGUCUCAGUACUAACGUCCUACAUUCAAAAUGUGCAUCUCACACAAAAUGACUGUAUUUGAUGCCCUGGGAAUAAGAUUGCUCCAGUUCAAAUUCUGAAUACAUUUUAAACUAUUAGAUUCCAAUUUUUAAUCUUUUAGGUUUUAAAUGUUUCCUGAUGUGUCAAUGAAACCUCAUAGAUUAGGUAAGCUGGUUUUUAAUGGUACUAUGGGGGCAGAAAUGUUGGGGCUAACCCCCCACCUCCUCAGCCCUUGUUUUGAUAAUCAUUUCUGGAUAUCUCAGGUAUACAAGAACCUUGAGGAAGUCUCACCCCCAAAUAGCAUGCUACUGAUGUGGACAGACCUGUAACACCACAAAACAAAACCACACCAGUUUUUUCAACAGUGUAAGCUUUUUUUAGGUGGAUUUUCCCUUUAAAUCAUAUACUAAAUUCAAAACGCAAACAGACAAAUGUCUGGCUUUUAGGUUCCCUGUGUGACAGAUUGAGUCCUUGUCACAAGGUUUGUUGAGUUCACUAACAUAAUAUUUUUAUUAUGAUUUGUUUUUUCAUAGUGGUGAUACUUUUACAGUGGAGAAUAAUUCUCAAGCCAAAUCUUUCUUUCUUUCUUUUUUUUUAAAAACUGUAGCUCUCAGGUCUUUAGGGGUCUAUCAACUAUGUGCUUAUUUUGUUCCUCUGCUUUAUAUAAACCCACAGUAGCUAUGGAUACAUUUAAAAGCUAUGAAAAAAGUGAAUGUAUUCAAGAGCUAUUUUCUUUUUAUUUCACAUUGCUUGAUAUGGAAGUUGAGAAAUAUGCUGAAAUCUAUGUGUAACGCAACGGGCAAACACAUCCAGUUGUCCCACUCUCUUUGCCCUUAUGUUUACAGGUUAGAUUUGCAGCUGCUGUUAGCAGAGUAAUGAUGGCGAAAAAAAUUAGACAAUCCAUGAUUGGGAAUAGUGAGUGCUAUCAAUCAAGAGUAGAAAAAUAAGCAUGCUUCAUGUUUUGCACAGCAUGGUGUUGAUGCACACUGCGGAAAAAAUGUCCAUCUUAACACUGAAACAUAUAUUUUUGUUAACAUAGCACAGUUGUUCUUUAAAGUACCACACAAUCACUAAUUUAGGGGUAAAUAAAAGUUAUUAUGAUAAGUAUAUUUGUCUCUAACAUUGGCAUCAAUGAUUUAGCGUCAGAAAUAGGAAUGAAAUAUCCAGUUUAUUUAUCUUAUUUCAAUAUUUUUAUUUCCAUAGCUCUGUCAUUGUAAACCAGGGCUAAGUGAUGAUGAGAAAAGAAAUACUCUGUAUAGAUAAACCUAAAUUAUGAUGUAGUAAUAGAAUAUUUGCAGUGUAGGAAACUCCCAGCAUCAAGAUGAAGUUUCUGAAUUAUAUUGAACUUUAAACACAGACUGGCUUCUACUGAGUCACUGAUAUUCUUUUUUAUUUUGAGACACAUUUCUUGUUAAAAUGGACAUUUUUGAAGUAUCCGUGUGCUCACAGGACUAUCAUUGGGUUUCUGCGAAAGUUUGGAUGUGAGAGAAAAAUGUUUGAAUUUACUAAGUGCUUACGCUAGAUAUCCUGUAUGCUAACCCUGGAUGGAUCAGAUACAGCGGUAACUGGUUUGAACUGUGAUGCUCCAAAGUUGGGCACUGAUGGAGCCACUGAAGAGUAGGUUUAUAUGAUGUGAUGGAAAGAAAGUGUAUAAAUUGUGAAUAAAGUUUUAAAAUCCAAA